Cavia aperea (Brazilian guinea pig) is the source of this 107-nucleotide small nuclear RNA. The record is from Ensembl. NCBI's taxonomy places the organism in Eukaryota, Metazoa, Chordata, Mammalia, Rodentia, Caviidae.
GUGCUCAUUUCAGCAGCACAUACACUCACAUUGGAGUGAUACAGAGAAGGUUAGCGUGGCCCCUGCACAAGGAUGACAUGCAAAUUCGUGAAGCGUUCCAUAUUUUU